Long non-coding RNA from Leptopilina heterotoma, 699 nucleotides. RefSeq lists it as uncharacterized. The transcript has 2 exons. The record is from RefSeq and is a predicted model, not a curated record. NCBI's taxonomy places the organism in Eukaryota, Metazoa, Arthropoda, Insecta, Hymenoptera, Figitidae.
AGUCAGGCUGAGUCAGGCCGCCAUGUUAGUUUUCGUUGACAGUUCUGAACAUAAAUAAAUAGAAAUGUAAAAAUUGAAGAUUAAUAUAGAAGAAUCAAGUACCUAUGUUUGAUUAUAAUUAAAUGAAAAUUAUAAAUGUUUUUAAAAAAAGUUUUGUGAUUAUCAAUUGGAAACAUUAUUAUAUUCUUUACACCAGACGGUUAUAUCGUGUAACAAUUAGGGUUCAAACAGAAUGAAAGAAAAUAAAAGUAAAAUAUAAAAUUGCUUAAAUAGUGUAUAUUUUCUGGUUGAAAACCAGUGUGCUAGAAAUUAAUUAAAUUUCUAAAUGAAUUUCUAAAUGAAAAUGAGAUAUAUUUGAAGUAGAUUUCUAUAUUUCAUCUUUGGGUAAAAGUAAGGUAUUAUAUAAAUUAAAUUAAAAGAAUGGGAGAUAAUUUUUUAGGGAACGGGGGAUUGCUUCACCGAGCUUUAUUAUUUAUGCUAAAACUUGGAUGGAAAUCUCGCUUUCGAUUACCUAUAAUUAUCAUAAUUACUUUUAUAGUAAUGGAUAUAAGGAUGCAUUUGGAAAUGGAAAUAGAAUAUUGAUGUUCUUUUGUGAAGACGGGGAAGACACUUAUUAAAUGUGAGAAUAAUAUAAUUGUUGUAAAUCUUAGGAUGCUUAAGUUAAUGUUCUUAAUAAAUAAAGAAAUUAUUUUAAAUGUA